Molecule: transfer-messenger RNA, 401 nt
Filed under: bovine gut metagenome
Rfam family: transfer-messenger RNA
About the family: Bacterial tmRNA, also known as 10Sa RNA or SsrA, is named for its dual tRNA and mRNA-like properties. Its role is to liberate the mRNA from a stalled ribosome.
Source: RNAcentral
GGGGUUGGGUUGGUUUUGACAGCAAGGUAGAGGCUCAAGCAAGCACGCAGUUACAGGUAACAAUUAACUUAAAACUUGGUUACGAAAAAUUAAUUGGCGAAAAUAAUUACGCUCUUGCUGCGUAGUCGAAGUAUAGUACACUACUCUUUAUCGGCACAAGGUUGCUGAGCAAGACGCUCCUGAGAAGAUUCCUAACCUUCGGUUUUCUCAAUCAAGGGGUGCAUCAUCAGAAAGGUUUAGUCAGACAAAUGCCUCGUGUGUCCGAUGAAAUUUUUAGAGGCUAAGCAAAAGGAAAGCGUGUCUAUUCACUGCCUUGCGCCGACAAUUGAACAAUAGAAUAAGCGUGUAGAAAACUUCGGUUUCUCUUGUUUGGACCAGAGUUCGAAUCUCUGCAACUCCAC